UACGUAGGGGGCUAGCGUUGUCCGGAUUUAUUGGGCGUAAAGAGCGUGUAGGCGGCCAGGUAGGUCUGCUGUGAAAACUCGAGGCUUAACCUCGAGACGUCGGCGGAAACCAUCUGGCUAGAGUCCGGAAGAGGAGAGUGGGAAUUCCUGGUGUAGCGGUGAAAUGCGCAGAUAUCAGGAAGAACACCCGUGGCGAAGGCGGCUCUCUGGGACGGUACUGACGCUGAGACGCGAAGCGUGGGGAGCGAACAGG
RNAcentral lists this ribosomal RNA (253 nucleotides) under uncultured bacterium. RNAcentral describes it as "partial 16S ribosomal RNA". It matches the Rfam family "Bacterial small subunit ribosomal RNA", at positions 524 to 776 of the family's 1533-position model. The record is from RNAcentral.